RNAcentral lists this ribosomal RNA (253 nucleotides) under uncultured bacterium. RNAcentral describes it as "partial 16S ribosomal RNA". It matches the Rfam family "Bacterial small subunit ribosomal RNA", at positions 524 to 776 of the family's 1533-position model. The record is from RNAcentral.
UACGUAGGGUGCAAGCGUUAAUCGGAAUUACUGGGCGUAAAGCGUGCGCAGGCGGUUCGGAAAGAAAGAUGUGAAAUCCCAGGGCUUAACCUUGGAACUACAUUUUUAACUGCCGAGCUAGAGUAUGUCAGAGGGGGGUAGAAUUCCACGUGUAGCAGUGAAAUGCGUAGAGAUGUGGAGGAAUACCGAUGGCGAAGGCAGCCCCCUGGGAUAAUACUGACGCUCAUGCACGAAAGCGUGGGGAGCAAACAGG